This 321-nucleotide long non-coding RNA is filed under the name Elaeis guineensis (African oil palm). Its description in RNAcentral is "long non-coding RNA (EGUI_LNC031753)". Lineage: Eukaryota; Viridiplantae; Streptophyta; Magnoliopsida; Arecales; Arecaceae. The record is from RNAcentral.
ACUCCGAUUAGGAGUCUUCUUCAUUUAUUUAUUAUUUUUUUUUGGGGCUUUUGGGUUUAAGGCCCAAUGGGCCGGGUGUUACAAGUAUUGUUGCUGAUGAGAACCUUUGACUCUUCAAUCAUAGCUAUUUGCUAAUUGGGAUAUUGAGUUGCUUGCUCAUAAGUGGUGGAUUUGGUAGGAAGAAUCGGGGGAGUAGAAAGUUGCACCGGGUCACCAUGAGACCGAGAGGAGGAUGGAAGGAGGAACAAAGCAAGACAGAACUAGCUUUGGUUUGUUCCACUUGUGAAAUAGUGGAGACCAUGAUAAGAUCCUCGAUUAGAG